CCUACCCGAAACACAAAAUGGAAGGGAAAAGUUAUUUCUUAAAUAACCAUGUAAUGUGAAAAAUAAAUUAUUUUUAUUCAAAUCAUCUUUCUCUUGGGUUGUUGGGAUUAAAAAUCACCGUCCUCCCUCCGGGAGCCUCAACAAUCGUCAAAUCCUAAUGAAAGUGGUGACAUCGAAAUAUAUAAUUGUAUAAAGUAAAGCGACUUCAAGUCGAUGUUAAUGGAUUUUUUCCUAGUACUUAAAUAGCAACAUGGUGCCUUGCUCGAUUGGUACGCGUGGUUCUUGCCAGUUCAAAAGACACAGACCAACUGAUGUGUAUGAAAUAAAACUCAAGUUGCCAAAAGUGACAUGACAUGUCAAAGUAGUCAGUUUUUGAUCAUGACUUUAAAAUGAUUGUAGUUUUGGAUUUAAAUUUUAGUUAUACUGUAAUGGUUGUUAUUAAAUGUCUUAAAAUGCAA
Long non-coding RNA from Diabrotica virgifera virgifera (western corn rootworm), 458 nucleotides. RefSeq lists it as uncharacterized. Lineage: Eukaryota; Metazoa; Arthropoda; Insecta; Coleoptera; Chrysomelidae. The transcript has 2 exons. The record is from RefSeq and is a predicted model, not a curated record.